AUUGAACGCUGGCGGCAUGCUUUACACAUGCAAGUCGGACGGUAACAGGCCUUCGGGCGCUGACGAGUGGCGAACGGGUGAGUAAUGCAUCGGAACGUGCCCAGUCGUGGGGGAUAACUAUCCGAAAGGAUAGCUAAUACCGCAUACGAUCUGCGGAUGAAAGCGGGGGACCUUCGGGCCUCGCGCGAUUGGAGCGGCCGAUGUCAGAUUAGGUAGUUGGUGGGGGAAAGGCUCACCAAGCCAACGAUCUGUAGCUGGUCUGAGAGGACGACCAACCACACUGGGCCUGAGACACGGCCCAGACGCCGACGGGAGGCAGCAGUGGGGAGUUGUGGACGAUGGGCGCAAGCCUGACCCAGCAAUGCCGCGUGCAGGAAGAAGGCCUUCGGGUUGUAAACUGCUUUUGUACGGAACGAAACGGCUCUGGUUAAUACCCGGGGCUAAUGACGGUACCGUAAGAAUAAGCACCGGCUAACUACGUGCCAGCAGCCGCCGUAA
Molecule: ribosomal RNA, 498 nt
Filed under: uncultured bacterium
Lineage: Bacteria
Description: partial 16S ribosomal RNA
Rfam family: Bacterial small subunit ribosomal RNA
Source: RNAcentral